AUGUGUGCGCUUGAUGCAGAUGGUGCUCCUGCCAUGGAGAAUCUUCGGGCGGAACUUGCCCAAGCCAAGGAGCAAGCCAGGAAAAGUGAUGCGGCUGCCAGAAAGGCAAUUGAAGAGCUGAAAGCCGAACAGGCUGCUCACUGCCAAAGCAAGAAGGAAAUGGCCGAGAUGGCCGUGAAGCUGAAGAACGCUGCUGACCGUUGCAAGCUUCUUGAAAAAGAAGAUCGGGCGGAACAGACGGACCUGAAGAAGGCCGUUGCCAAUUCCAAGGAUGCUCGCUCUGCGAUGAGAGCUAUGAAGGAGGAGUUGCGUCAGGCCGGAGAGAUCGCGGCUGGAAAGCCCUUUAUGCUGCGGAGGAAGUUCUGUGAUCCUAAACAUGCUCCGCUAGACCAGAUGUGGAGUACGGCGGACACCUAUCUGGAUUUAGAAGCGAGUGCCGCACAUGCGGCCGAACACUUCCGAGAUCAAGAAGAUCGCGAAGUGGAAAAGCUCUUCUGGUCGCAGUUCCACAAUCCAGAGCGUCCACUGUCAUUAGUCGAUCAUUUGGCCGAAUGGGCCGAGCUAAAUAGGUUGUCCGGACUCGCCAUGAAGUAUGUCAUGAGUCAUCUGUGGCCAGAGAGGCCAGAGCCGAAAAGUUAUUUCAACUUGGUGCAGCAGUUCCUUGGUGCGGUGCCGCAUAUCAAUGCGAUGAAGAGGUCAGCAUGCAUAGAGGGUGCGCGGAUGGCUCUUGCCCGUGUCAAGACAUACUAG
This 750-nucleotide ribosomal RNA is filed under the name Triticum aestivum (bread wheat). Its description in RNAcentral is "partial small subunit ribosomal RNA". The record is from RNAcentral. Lineage: Eukaryota; Viridiplantae; Streptophyta; Magnoliopsida; Poales; Poaceae.